Molecule: small nuclear RNA, 117 nt
Organism: Heterocephalus glaber (naked mole-rat)
Lineage: Eukaryota; Metazoa; Chordata; Mammalia; Rodentia; Bathyergidae
Source: Ensembl
UUUGAUCCCCAGUACCAAAAAAAAUAAAAUAAAAUAAAAACUGGAACGAUAUAGAGGAGAUUAGCAUGGCCCCUGCACAAGGAUGACAUGCAAAUUCGUGAACCAUUCCAUAUUUUU